RNAcentral lists this ribosomal RNA (468 nucleotides) under uncultured bacterium. Its description in RNAcentral is "partial 16S ribosomal RNA". It matches the Rfam family "Bacterial small subunit ribosomal RNA", at positions 28 to 507 of the family's 1533-position model. The record is from RNAcentral.
GACGAACGCUGGCGGCGUGCUUAACACAUGCAAGUCGAACGGAAAGGCCCUGCUUUUGUGGGGUUCUCGAGUGGCGAACGGGUGAGUAACACGUGAGUAACCUGCCCUUGACUUUGGGAUAACUUCAGGAAACUGGGGCUAAUACCGGAUAGGAGCUCCUGCUGCAUGGUGGUGGUUGGAAAAUUUCGGCGGUGGUGGAUGGACUCGCGGCUUAUCAGCUUGUUGGUGGGGUAGUGGCUUACCAGGGCUUUGACGGGUAGCCGGCAUGGGAGGGUGACCGGCCACAUUGGGACUGAGAUACGGCCCAGACUCGUACGGGAGGCAGCAGUGGGGAAUAUUGCACAAUGGGCGGAAGCGUGAUGCAGCAACGCCGCGUGCGGGAUGACGGCCUUCGGGUUGUAAACCGCUUUCGCCUGUGACGAAGAGUGAGUGACGGUAAUGGGUAAAGAAGCACCGGCUAACUACGUG